AUGAGGUUCGAUAAAAAUGUAAGGGUGUAAGAAAUGAAAAAGAAAGUAUUAGUACCACAAUAGCUCGACGUUGUGGGAGGAAAAUGUCCAAACUAUUCUACAGAUUUUCAAUUUCCUUCAAUCCGUUGAAAUUUCAAUAGAUAGAACUUGUAGACGAAGAAGACUUGGGCACAAUUGUGGAAUUUAUUGCUCGAAUGGAGACAACAACACUAAACCAAUUCUAUUAUUUGUC
This 232-nucleotide long non-coding RNA is filed under the name Gossypium barbadense (sea-island cotton). Its description in RNAcentral is "long non-coding RNA (GBAR_LNC000715)". The record is from RNAcentral. Lineage: Eukaryota; Viridiplantae; Streptophyta; Magnoliopsida; Malvales; Malvaceae.